This 800-nucleotide long non-coding RNA is filed under the name Homo sapiens (human). RNAcentral's name for it is "HSALNT0106980". Lineage: Eukaryota; Metazoa; Chordata; Mammalia; Primates; Hominidae. The record is from RNAcentral.
AGUCCACAUGUGAUUUCUUCUAUUUUGGAAUGUGUAGAUCACUCACUUAACUUUCCCUGAGCUUCAUGAGCUCUGCCUUCCAGUUUAAGCCCUGGAAAUACAUAACGAAGCACAAAAGCCAGCUUUGCUUUAUGAGCUCCAUGGAAAAGACACACAAUAAAAUGGUCAUAUUUUAAUGUGAAAAAUGUUAAUGACAAGUAAAGCCAAGUGUGUCAAGGGGACAUAGUAAAGGGGCCUAAUGUGGCUUGGAGAGUCAGGGAGGGCUCGUGCUUUGUACAACGGCUUUGUAUCUAAACUCUCAUACAAAGGGUGAGAAGUUGGCCAGGCAAAGAUGGGGAAUUUGUGGAAGGGGUCAUGAAAGAUUUGAGGGCUGGAAGAAAUUUCACUCUGGCUAGGGCAUAGAGCGCGAACUAGGUUCUCAGACCCGAAGCCAGAGGAAUGAGUAGAAACUACAUCACGGGACCUUGGAAACCAACGUUAAGAAGCUGCCAAAGCACCUUGAGGAGAAAGACUUGAUUAGUAUUAUAUUGAAACAUGAAUUAUUUGGGAAAUGUCAAGGUGUCUGAAAAGUGGAAUGAGUUAAAAUUGAGGAAGGAAGCAUUCUAGACAAAGCUCAGAAUCUUAGGAGACUUACUCUGGACCUCAGGAUAUCUCAUCACGAGCAAAAUUCCCCAGUGCAAUGUGGAGGCUGUGGUCUCUGUACCUGUCGUGAACAGAUUAUUAACAAGUGUCACCAACUUUUUAUCACUGAAAUAGUCAGCAAAUGUGUCAUUCUCCUGAAAGAGUAAAAUGAACCACCG